GAGAAGAACGCAGCGAAAUGCGAUAAGUAAUGUGAAUUGCAGAAUUCAGUGAAUCAUCGAAUCUUUGAACGCACAUUGCGCCCCCUGGUAUUCCGGGGGGCAUGCCUGUCCGAGCGUCAUUACAACCCUCAAGCUCAGCUUGGUGUUGGGCCCCGCCGUCCCGGCGGGCCCUAAAGUCAGUGGCGGUGCCGUCCGGCUCCGAGCGUAGUAAUUCUUCUCGCUCUGGAGGUCCGGUCGUGUGCUCGCCAGCAACCCCCAAUUUUUUCAGGUUGACCUCGGAUCAGGUAGGGAUACCCGCUGAACUUAAGCAUAUCAAUAAGCGGAGGA
Molecule: unclassified non-coding RNA, 327 nt
Filed under: soil metagenome
Description: partial contains 5.8S ribosomal RNA, internal transcribed spacer 2, and large subunit ribosomal RNA
Rfam family: 5.8S ribosomal RNA (bases 3-119)
Source: RNAcentral